UGGUGGGUAGUUUGACUGGGGCGGUCUCCUCCUAAAGAGUAACGGAGGAGCACGAAGGUUGGCUAAUCCUGGUCGGACAUCAGGAGGUUAGUGCAAUGGCAUAAGCCAGCUUGACUGCGAGCGUGACGGCGCGAGCAGGUGCGAAAGCAGGUCAUAGUGAUCCGGUGGUUCUGAAUGGAAGGGCCAUCGCUCAACGGAUAAAAGGUACUCCGGGGAUAACAGGCUGAUACCGCCCAAGAGUUCAUAUCGACGGCGGUGUUUGGCACCUCGAUGUCGGCUCAUCACAUCCUGGGGCUGAAGUAGGUCCCAAGGGUAUGGCUGUUCGCCAUUUAAAGUGGUACGCGAGCUGGGUUUAGAACGUCGUGAGACAGUUCGGUCCCUAUCUGCCGUGGGCGCUGGAGAACUGAGGG
Molecule: ribosomal RNA, 410 nt
Filed under: Escherichia coli
Lineage: Bacteria; Pseudomonadati; Pseudomonadota; Gammaproteobacteria; Enterobacterales; Enterobacteriaceae
Description: partial 23S ribosomal RNA
Rfam family: Bacterial large subunit ribosomal RNA
Source: RNAcentral